AGUGAACGCUGGCGGUAGGCCUAACACAUGCAAGUCGAACGGCAGCACAGUAAGAGCUUGCUCUUACGGGUGGCGAGUGGCGGACGGGUGAGGAAUACAUCGGAAUCUACUUUUUCGUGGGGGAUAACGUAGGGAAACUUACGAUAAUACCGCAUACGACGUACGGGUGAAAGCAUGGGAUCUUCGGACCUUGCGCGAUUGAAUGAGCCGAUGUCGGAUUAGUUAGUUGGCGGGGUAAAGGCCCACCAAGGCGCCGAUCCGUAGCUGGUCUGAGAGGAUGAUCAGCCACACUGGAACUGAGACACGGUCCAGGCUCCUACGGGAGGCAGCAGUGGGGAAUAUUGGACAAUGGGCGCAAGCCUGGUCCAGCCAUACCGCGUGGGUGAAGAAGGCCUUCGGGUUGUAAAGCCCUUUUGUUGGGAAAGAAAAGCAGCAGGUUAAUACCCCGCUGUUCUGACGGUACCCAAAGAAUAAGCACCGGCUAACUUCGUG
RNAcentral lists this ribosomal RNA (492 nucleotides) under uncultured bacterium. Its description in RNAcentral is "partial 16S ribosomal RNA". It matches the Rfam family "Bacterial small subunit ribosomal RNA", at positions 29 to 507 of the family's 1533-position model. The record is from RNAcentral.